CCGCGGCUCCCGAGUCGUUGUUCGGUGCCACGAAGAGCAGGUGCGCGGCGGUGAGCAGCAGGCGUUCGCGCGGCUCCCGCGUCUCAAUAACGUAGAAGACCUUCUUGGCGCCUUCGUCGCGGUCCAGGAAGGUGCACUGUGGCGGAUCCCGGGAAGCAGCCCCCGGAUUUGGCAGCCACGGAGUUCUCUGCCGGGAAGAGAGAAGAGAGACGGGGUGUUGAGUGCCAAAGGAGACAGCACCCAGCCUCGCCGCGAACCCAGAAGGAUAUUUACUCUCCACUUGGAUUCCUCAGGAAGCCUCCUUGAGCCCGCGCGGGCGCCGGGCGCACCCUCCUCUCUCGCGCCCGGACAGUAGGGCGCGGCGCCUCCCAGUGUGCGGUGUGAGGAGGCUGCGCCCGGGGAACCCAGACCACCCCCGCCUCCCGCUUCACCAGUGAAGGCCUUGGCGUUGGCCAGUGGAUGGCCAGGGGGUGGGAAGCGAAAAAUAGCUAUAGUCGUUGUAGCAACUGGACAAACAUUCCAGAGGUUUGCCCGAGGUGUGAAAGCCCAAGACUUGUGUGGAUUUUCUAAUUAAAAUCCA
Molecule: long non-coding RNA, 580 nt
Organism: Microtus oregoni (creeping vole)
Lineage: Eukaryota; Metazoa; Chordata; Mammalia; Rodentia; Cricetidae
Exons: 3
Source: RefSeq, a predicted model, not a curated record